This 1437-nucleotide ribosomal RNA is filed under the name uncultured bacterium. RNAcentral describes it as "16S ribosomal RNA". It matches the Rfam family "Bacterial small subunit ribosomal RNA". The record is from RNAcentral.
CAGGCUUAACACAUGCAAGUCGAGGGGCAGCAUGGUCUUAGCUUGCUAAGGCCGAUGGCGACCGGCGCACGGGUGAGUAACACGUAUCCAACCUGCCGUCUACUCUUGGACAGCCUUCUGAAAGGAAGAUUAAUACAAGAUGGCAUCAUGAGUCCGCAUGUUCACAUGAUUAAAGGUAUUCCGGUAGACGAUGGGGAUGCGUUCCAUUAGAUAGUAGGCGGGGUAACGGCCCACCUAGUCUUCGAUGGAUAGGGGUUCUGAGAGGAAGGUCCCCCACAUUGGAACUGAGACACGGUCCAAACUCCUACGGGAGGCAGCAGUGAGGAAUAUUGGUCAAUGGGCGAGAGCCUGAACCAGCCAAGUAGCGUGAAGGAUGACUGCCCUAUGGGUUGUAAACUUCUUUUAUAAAGGAAUAAAGUCGGGUAUGGAUACCCGUUUGCAUGUACUUUAUGAAUAAGGAUCGGCUAACUCCGUGCCAGCAGCCGCGGUAAUACGGAGGAUCCGAGCGUUAUCCGGAUUUAUUGGGUUUAAAGGGAGCGUAGAUGGAUGUUUAAGUCAGUUGUGAAAGUUUGCGGCUCAACCGUAAAAUUGCAGUUGAUACUGGAUAUCUUGAGUGCAGUUGAGGCAGGCGGAAUUCGUGGUGUAGCGGUGAAAUGCUUAGAUAUCACGAAGAACUCCGAUUGCGAAGGCAGCCUGCUAAGCUGCAACUGACAUUGAGGCUCGAAAGUGUGGGUAUCAAACAGGAUUAGAUACCCUGGUAGUCCACACGGUAAACGAUGAAUACUCGCUGUUUGCGAUAUACUGCAAGCGGCCAAGCGAAAGCGUUAAGUAUUCCACCUGGGGAGUACGCCGGCAACGGUGAAACUCAAAGGAAUUGACGGGGGCCCGCACAAGCGGAGGAACAUGUGGUUUAAUUCGAUGAUACGCGAGGAACCUUACCCGGGCUUAAAUUGCAGAUGAAUUACGGUGAAAGCCGUAAGCCGCAAGGCAUCUGUGAAGGUGCUGCAUGGUUGUCGUCAGCUCGUGCCGUGAGGUGUCGGCUUAAGUGCCAUAACGAGCGCAACCCUUGUUGUCAGUUACUAACAGGUUCCGCUGAGGACUCUGACAAGACUGCCAUCGUAAGAUGUGAGGAAGGUGGGGAUGACGUCAAAUCAGCACGGCCCUUACGUCCGGGGCUACACACGUGUUACAAUGGGGGGUACAGAGGGCCGCUACCACGCGAGUGGAUGCCAAUCCCCAAAACCUCUCUCAGUUCAGACUGGAGUCUGCAACCCGACUCCACGAAGCUGGAUUCGCUAGUAAUCGCGCAUCAGCCACGGCGCGGUGAAUACGUUCCCGGGCCUUGUACACACCGCCCGUCAAGCCAUGGGAGCCGGGGGUACCUGAAGUGCGUAACCGCGAGGAGCGCCCUAGGGUAAAACUGGUGAUUGGGGCUAA